Molecule: ribosomal RNA, 763 nt
Filed under: uncultured Streptococcus sp.
Lineage: Bacteria; Bacillati; Bacillota; Bacilli; Lactobacillales; Streptococcaceae
Description: bacterial SSU rRNA
Rfam family: Bacterial small subunit ribosomal RNA
Source: RNAcentral
GACGAACGCUGGCGGCGUGCCUAAUACAUGCAAGUAGAACGCUGAAGGAGGAGCUUGCUUCUCCGGAUGAGUUGCGAACGGGUGAGUAACGCGUAGGUAACCUGCCUGGUAGCGGGGGAUAACUAUUGGAAACGAUAGCUAAUACCGCAUAAGAGUAGAUGUUGCAUGACAUCUGCUUAAAAGGUGCAAUUGCAUCACUACCAGAUGGACCUGCGUUGUAUUAGCUAGUUGGUGGGGUAACGGCUCACCAAGGCGACGAUACAUAGCCGACCUGAGAGGGUGAUCGGCCACACUGGGACUGAGACACGGCCCAGACUCCUACGGGAGGCAGCAGUAGGGAAUCUUCGGCAAUGGACGGAAGUCUGACCGAGCAACGCCGCGUGAGUGAGGAAGGUUUUCGGAUCGUAAAGCUCUGUUGUAAGAGAAGAACGAGUGUGAGAGUGGAAAGUUCACACUGUGACGGUAUCUUACCAGAAAGGGACGGCUAACUACGUGCCAGCAGCCGCGGUAAUACGUAGGUCCCGAGCGUUGUCCGGAUUUAUUGGGCGUAAAGCGAGCGCAGGCGGUUAGAUAAGUCUGAAGUUAAAGGCUGUGGCUUAACCAUAGUACGCUUUGGAAACUGUUUAACUUGAGUGCAAGAGGGGAGAGUGGAAUUCCAUGUGUAGCGGUGAAAUGCGUAGAUAUAUGGAGGAACACCGGUGGCGAAAGCGGCUCUCUGGCUUGUAACUGACGCUGAGGCUCGAAAGCGUGGGGAGCAAACAGG